This 253-nucleotide ribosomal RNA is filed under the name uncultured bacterium. RNAcentral describes it as "partial 16S ribosomal RNA". It matches the Rfam family "Bacterial small subunit ribosomal RNA", at positions 524 to 776 of the family's 1533-position model. The record is from RNAcentral.
UACGAAGGGUGCAAGCGUUACUCGGAAUUACUGGGCGUAAAGCGUGCGUAGGCGGUUUGUCGCGUCUGCCGUGAAAGUCCGGGGCUCAACUCCGGAUCUGCGGUGGGUACGGGCAGACUAGAGUGAUGUAGGGGAGACUGGAAUUCCUGGUGUAGCGGUGAAAUGCGCAGAUAUCAGGAGGAACACCGAUGGCGAAGGCAGGUCUCUGGGCAUUAACUGACGCUGAGGAGCGAAAGCAUGGGGAGCGAACAGG